GAAGGACAAUUGGUUGGAAAGACUGUUCUAUAGCUGCCAGAGACUGGAUAAGCGUGACCAGUCAACAAUUCCACGCAAUCUCCUGAAGACAGAUGCUAUCCUUUGGCAGUGGGCCAUAUGGGAAGCUGCACAAUUCACUGUUCUUUCUAAGCUGAGAACCCCACUGGGCAGAGCUCAAGACACCUUCCAGACAAUUGAAGGUAUCAUUCGAAGUCUCGCAGGUCACACAUUAAACCCUGAUCAGGAUGUUAGUCAGUGGACAACUGCAGACAGUGAUGAAGGCCAUGGUAACAACCAACUUAGACUUGUUCUUCUUCUGCAGUAUCUGGAAAAUCUGGAGAAAUUAAUGUAUAAUGCAUACGAGGGAUGUGCUAAUGCCUUAACUUCACCUCCCAAGG
This 398-nucleotide long non-coding RNA is filed under the name Homo sapiens (human). RNAcentral describes it as "non-protein coding lnc-NPIPB4-5:2". Lineage: Eukaryota; Metazoa; Chordata; Mammalia; Primates; Hominidae. The record is from RNAcentral.